AGACAAAGCCAUAUAUGAUUGAAGGUUAUCAGUACUGUGCUUUUGGAGGAUUCAGAAGAAGUUAUAUCUGAUUGGGAGAUUGAAAAGGAUUGGCCUGAAGGAGAGGUGGUUUUUGAACUGCAUCUUAAAGGAUGAGGAAACUGAGGCUGAGAGGGUAGAGAACUUUGCCUGAGGUCACUCAGCAGGGACCCACCCAUCACAGUAAAUGCCAGCACUGCUGAUGCCAAAACAAUGUUAUUUGUAGGCCCUCGGAAUUUGUGACCUGAAGGAAGAAGAGCAGGGCCGUGGGAAGUAUGUAACCAGUGUCAUGCCCCUGGUCCCAAGGAAGCAGUGGCUUGGUAAAGAGGGGACCCCCGUCAAUAACUCCCUGUAAUUACUGGGCACCCACUCUGAGCUCCUCAGUGGAAUCCUAAGGUUAAUAAGACUGUCUCUAGCCACUGGGGCUCCCAGCCUGGAGUGAGGAUUGCAGAGUUCAGCUGGCCAUCAUCCACCAGCCGGGGGACUGUGCACAUCAGUUAACCUCUCCUCUCAGGCCUUGAAAAGCACCAGGCUUAGUACACGUUUGUUAAAUGAAUGCACUGCAGUUUUUUUGCUUGUUAAAGGCAGGUAAUAAUAAUGAUAUUGCUGACUAAGGGCUCCCAUCCACUCCCAGUGAGCCCGGUGCCCCCCCGGGCCUCCUCAGUGAGCUGAGGAGGCUCAGCAGUGCCUGCACGUCCCCUCGCCACAAUGUCAUGUGCCACCUCUUCAAAGGAGGGAUGUACCAGCUAGUGGACGUGACCUUGACUGCAAAGGGCGGCACGCAGCUGAUGUAAUGGUCGCUUAAGUGUUCACAAAUGCCUGAACACCCUGUCCUACCUGGUCCUACCUGGAUGCUGGCCUCAGUAAGCUCCUGGGCUCAUUGAAGAUGAACCUAGCAGUAGUAUUUACACCACUUGUUGUGUGCCCACUGUGGGCCCGGCGCCAUGCCGAGUGCUCUAUGGAUGUGAGUUUUCCAUCCUUCCUUCAGUGCUGGGAGAGAAAAGCAUACGACAUAGACAGGGAGGUCAAGCUCCACCACGCAGAUGAGGUGCAGGCCACCAGUCUUCCUCUGCCACAUCUCUUUCUGAAAAGGACUUCACAUUCACCCUUGCAAUCCAUGUGGGGACACUGUUGGAUAGGAGGCGUGGUCCCAGCGUGGUCUCCCUGUCUGGGCCUCUGCCUAUGCCAAAUGUUUGCCUUACGCUGCACACUCAAGAGGUUCCAUGUAUACAGAUGGGAAUUCCAGAGCUACAGAAAAGGCAGCAAGCACCAUGAUUUAAGCUAACCAGUGUGGAUUCACACCUUCCUCUCUCUCUAUCAGUGGCAGAACUACCAGCUAGAGUAAGAAGUGGUUGAUCCAGGACCUAAACAUUCUGGAAACUCUUGCCCACUUCUGGGAGAAAUGACCCAAUCCAUAGUACUAAGCACACCUUAACUUUCGUAGGACGCAGGCAAGUUGUCAUACCGUGUGCCUAAAUAUAGAAAAAUGAUCCACUGGACUAAUAAAGUGUUAAAUAAAAUA
RNAcentral lists this long non-coding RNA (1540 nucleotides) under Homo sapiens (human). RNAcentral's name for it is "long intergenic non-protein coding RNA 2395". The record is from RNAcentral. Lineage: Eukaryota; Metazoa; Chordata; Mammalia; Primates; Hominidae.